This 454-nucleotide ribosomal RNA is filed under the name uncultured bacterium. RNAcentral describes it as "partial 16S ribosomal RNA". It matches the Rfam family "Bacterial small subunit ribosomal RNA", at positions 28 to 507 of the family's 1533-position model. The record is from RNAcentral.
GAUGAACGCUGACAGAAUGCUUAACACAUGCAAGUCAACUUGAACUUCGGUUUGGGUGGCGGACGGGUGAGUAACGCGUACAGAACUUGCCUCACAGAUAGGGACAACAUUUGGAAACGAAUGCUAAUACCUGAUAUUAUGAUUAUAUGGCAUCGUAUAAUUAUGAAAGCUAUAUGCGCUGUGAGAGAGCUUUGCGUCCCAUUAGCUAGUUGGAGAGGUAACGGCUCACCAAGGCGAUGAUGGGUAGCCGGCCUGAGAGGGUGAUCGGCCACAAGGGGACUGAGACACGGCCCUUACUCCUACGGGAGGCAGCAGUGGGGAAUAUUGGACAAUGGACCAAGAGUCUGAUCCAGCAAUUCUGUGUGCACGAUGAAGUUUUUCGGAAUGUAAAGUGCUUUCAGUUGGGAAGAAAAAAAUGACGGUACCAACAGAAGAAGUGACGGCUAAAUACGUG